This 186-nucleotide ribosomal RNA is filed under the name Triticum aestivum (bread wheat). RNAcentral describes it as "partial small subunit ribosomal RNA". The record is from RNAcentral. Lineage: Eukaryota; Viridiplantae; Streptophyta; Magnoliopsida; Poales; Poaceae.
AUGUACCCAAUUGCUUGGGCAAUAGUGGAGCAAGAAACAACAGAAAAUUGGGAAUCGUUUAUUUGCCUUCUGAUCAAAGACUUGGACAUCAAUAAUCAAGGUGAAGGCUGGGUGUUCAUUUCAGACCAACAAAAGGUAAUUAGUUCAAGUCGCCUAGACGGAGAACCACCUAGUGUACUCCUUUGA